UGCCGGGCUCCGUGCAAUGAGCAGCCGCGAACCCCGCCAGGACCGGAAGGUAGCAACGGUAGUGGUCCCGCUUGUGUGCCGCGGAUUCCCCGGCGCUU
This 98-nucleotide signal recognition particle RNA is filed under the name Acidobacteriota bacterium. RNAcentral describes it as "Acidobacteria bacterium (activated sludge metagenome) signal recognition particle sRNA small type". It matches the Rfam family "Bacterial small signal recognition particle RNA". Rfam says of the family: The signal recognition particle (SRP) is a universally conserved ribonucleoprotein involved in the co-translational targeting of proteins to membranes. The record is from RNAcentral. Lineage: Bacteria; Pseudomonadati; Acidobacteriota. RNAcentral also lists the same sequence under 1 other name.